RNAcentral lists this ribosomal RNA (253 nucleotides) under uncultured bacterium. Its description in RNAcentral is "partial 16S ribosomal RNA". It matches the Rfam family "Bacterial small subunit ribosomal RNA", at positions 524 to 776 of the family's 1533-position model. The record is from RNAcentral.
UACGGAGGGGGCUAGCGUUGUUCGGAAUUACUGGGCGUAAAGCGCGCGUAGGCGGACCUGCAAGUCGGGGGUGAAAGCCCGAGGCUCAACCUCGGAACUGCCUUCGAUACUGCGGGUCUCGAGUACGGAAGAGGCGAGUGGAAUUCCUGGUGUAGCGGUGAAAUGCGCAGAUAUCAGGAGGAACACCAAUGGCGAAGGCAGCUCGCUGGGACGUUACUGACGCUGAGACGCGAAAGCGUGGGGAGCAAACAGG